UACUACGAUAUUAUUUUUUGU
RNAcentral lists this non-coding RNA (21 nucleotides) under Caenorhabditis elegans. The record is from RNAcentral. Lineage: Eukaryota; Metazoa; Nematoda; Chromadorea; Rhabditida; Rhabditidae.